RNAcentral lists this long non-coding RNA (2233 nucleotides) under Gallus gallus (chicken). The record is from RNAcentral. Lineage: Eukaryota; Metazoa; Chordata; Aves; Galliformes; Phasianidae.
GGGCAUUUGAAAACCAUGGGGCUGACUCUCAACUGGGAAGCUCCUCCCAGCUGCAGAGAGAUUUAUAAUACUGGUGUCCCUCAGCAAAAGGCUCUGACAUCAAGGCAGAAUCCCAGAGAUCCUGCAUGCCAUGUACAGAAAGAGAGGAAAGUGCUGCGAGAUGCGGCCCCAAGGGCACGCUGCUAAUCGAAAGGUUGGCCUCCCGCCCCGCUGCUAAAAAAGUUUGUGUAUGACAAAAUCAGCCUCUAUCAUCACCACUGCUGGAGGGCUUCAGAUGGAUCCUUCCUCCAAGGAGGAGUGCGAGAGUGGCCCAUGAGUCCCUUCAGAGGUCGGAGGGCACUGGUGGAGACCCCUCAGUGCUGUCAACACGGAGAGAGGAGCUUAGUGCCAACUCUUGUUCUCACAAUGUGAUUUUUGUGUUUCGAAAGCUUGAAUUAUCCUUGAUGCUAUCGGUGUGUGUUUUAUAUUCCAUGAUGGUGUUGGGAGGUAGGUUGAGCACUCUUCGUAACGUGUCGCGUAUCCGGGCUGUCGUGGCCUGGUCGCUGGCUGUCUUGUUCCAUAUCGAGAUAAUAUCCUCCUGGAAUCGGACAGAGACGACCGCCCCACAGAUUUCUUCGCCCACCAUGAACUGCUCUCCAAGCAUCGCCAGAAUGAGAUUCUCCCAACAUCGUGAUGCUAAGCCCUUCCGCAGACGGAUAAUCCAUUUACCACCAUUUUUGUUGGCAUCAUCCUCCCACAUGGGUUUGAUGCCCUCUUUGAAAAGAUGGAAGUCACUAUGGCCUGUCAGGUCCCCAGGACGUACCAUGUGACUGUAAAACCGCCAGAACUGCUCCACUGAGGCAAAGGUGCCAAUCUGUUUGAUGUUCUGUUCAUAACUCUGCGAGCUGGUAGGCCUCCCAGGUGUUCGUCUGGAGUACCAGAAAGUGUAAUUAUACUGCAAGGGGUGCUCAGCUGGUCCUGGGACAACUGCCUUCCUCUUGGUGGUACUCUGUGGUUUCUCUCGAUCAUUCUUUUCCUUCUCACUGUCUUUCUGUGUGUUAUUCUCCUCAUUCUGGUCAUGGUCUCCACUAUCAUCAUCUUUCAAUGCGUCGAAUUUGUUGUUCAUCGUCGCUCGCUGCCGCCACCCCCGUCCACCUCAGCGACUUCCGCUUCGCCGAGUCCGCUCUCCAAAGCCUUCCGCCACUUCCUGCGGCGACAGCGACGCCAUGCUCCCCGCCCCGGCAUCAUGGGGGCGGAGCGCGGCGGAAGUGGAAAAAAGACACUUCCGGUUGCCAUCUUGGUCCUUGUGUGCAGUAGCACGGGGUGGGCUGGGGGUGUCUUGCAGCUGUUCCUGGCUCCAUUCUGCAGCACAGAAAUGAGGAUUCAAGAAGGCAGAAUACGUGUAGGCUUUUAUUUAGGAACUCACGAUGCCCAAUACAGCUUGCACUGCAGGACUGGGGCAGCUGAAUCAGCUCGAUUUUCCCUAUGACACUGCCAUGAGCAAGGACAGUGACACAUAAAAGUGCAGAUGUGUGCAUUUCUCACUUCCAGAUACACCAUCGUUUAGAGGAAAAGCUAUCAUAAAGCGAUAGUGGUGGCAUCUGAGCCAGUUGUGAAGAAAUCUGUGGUCACUUGGAACAUGUUGGUGCCUGAAUAUAGAUUGUGGGUCAUCCUUUGCCUGCAGAUAUAAGGGAGGUGAUGAGCUUUGAGAAUCUUUUGAUACUGUAACAGAUUUCCAGCAAGAGAGAUUUAUCCAUACGUGCAUAUCCACAGAAUCCAUACUGAGUUGGUGAAAUUGGAAAGACAGCAGCUCUGUAGCUCUACUAGAAAAAUAAUCUUACUGACUGAGGAAUGUAGUGCACAAUCAGCUUUAUUCCAGUCUAGGGUGGAACAACAUUACUAUCUCUGUGGUGACUGCCAAGGAACACCAUUGUAGCACUUCAUAUGAUGAACUCUCAAAAGAUGAAGAGGCAUCUUUCUGCACUAGUGUUUUCCAGGGUACUGGUGAAGACAGUAUGUCUAUGAAGCUCUGGAGAGUUUGAUUAGGCACAGUUUCCACAUGUGCAUUGGCUUCUGCAAUUUGCUCUCAGAAAUCCACUGUCAAUGUUGUGUUGCUGAACCCACAUCUCAGGAACAUCUGUAGGCAGGACUGCGUCACUUUGGAGGUGGGUGCAGGCCUCCUCCUUUGCAAUUGUUGGAAACAAAGAUGUUGCCAACGGAUUGUGAAAUAUGCUGACCAUACUGACAACUCAUG